AGCGUACACGGUGGAUGCCCUGGCAGUCAGAGGCGAUGAAGGACGUGCUAAUCUGCGAAAAGCGCCGGCGAGGUGAUAUGAACCUUUGACCCGGCGAUGUCCGAAUGGGGAAACCCAGUGUGAUUCGUCACACUAUCGUUAACUGAAUACAUAGGUUAACGAGGCGAACCGGGGGAACUGAAACAUCUAAGUACCCCGAGGAAAAGAAAUCAACCGAGAUUCCCCCAGUAGCGGCGAGCGAACGGGGAGCAGCCCAGAGUCUGAAUCAGCUUGUGUGUUAGUGGAAGCGUCUGGAAAGUCGCACGGUACAGGGUGACAGUCCCGUACACGAAAACACACAGGUUGUGAACUCGAAGAGUAGGGCGGGACACGUGGUAUCCUGUCUGAAUAUGGGGGGACCAUCCUCCAAGGCUAAAUACUCCUGACUGACCGAUAGUGAACCAGUACCGUGAGGGAAAGGCGAAAAGAACCCCGGCGAGGGGAGUGAAAAAGAACCUGAAACCGUGUACGUACAAGCAGUGGGAGCACCUUCGUGGUGUGACUGCGUACCUUUUGUAUAAUGGGUCAGCGACUUAUAUUCUGUAGCAAGGUUAACCGUAUAGGGGAGCCGAAGGGAAACCGAGUCUUAACUGGGCGUUAAGUUGCAGGGUAUAGACCCGAAACCCGGUGAUCUAGCCAUGGGCAGGUUGAAGGUUGGGUAACACUAACUGGAGGACCGAACCGACUAAUGUUGAAAAAUUAGCGGAUGACUUGUGGCUGGGGGUGAAAGGCCAAUCAAACCGGGAGAUAGCUGGUUCUCCCCGAAAGCUAUUUAGGUAGCGCCUCGUGAACUCAUCUUCGGGGGUAGAGCACUGUUUCGGCUAGGGGGCCAUCCCGGCUUACCAACCCGAUGCAAACUACGAAUACCGAAGAAUGUUAUCACGGGAGACACACGGCGGGUGCUAACGUCCGUCGUGAAGAGGGAAACAACCCAGACCGCCAGCUAAGGUCCCAAAGUCAUGGUUAAGUGGGAAACGAUGUGGGAAGGCACAGACAGCCAGGAUGUUGGCUUAGAAGCAGCCAUCAUUUAAAGAAAGCGUAAUAGCUCACUGGUCGAGUCGGCCUGCGCGGAAGAUGUAACGGGGCUAAACCAUGCACCGAAGCUGCGGCAGCGACGCUUAUGCGUUGUUGGGUAGGGGAGCGUUCUGUAAGCCGUUGAAGGUGUGCUGUGAGGCAUGCUGGAGGUAUCAGAAGUGCGAAUGCUGACAUAAGUAACGAUAAAGCGGGUGAAAAGCCCGCUCGCCGGAAGACCAAGGGUUCCUGUCCAACGUUAAUCGGGGCAGGGUGAGUCGACCCCUAAGGCGAGGCCGAAAGGCGUAGUCGAUGGGAAACAGGUUAAUAUUCCUGUACUUGGUGUUACUGCGAAGGGGGGACGGAGAAGGCUAUGUUAGCCGGGCGACGGUUGUCCCGGUUUAAGCAUGUAGGCGGAGGUUCCAGGUAAAUCCGGUACCUUUUAACGCUGAGGUGUGAUGACGAGGCACUACGGUGCUGAAGUAACAAAUGCCCUGCUUCCAGGAAAAGCCUCUAAGCAUCAGGUAACAUCAAAUCGUACCCCAAACCGACACAGGUGGUCAGGUAGAGAAUACCAAGGCGCUUGAGAGAACUCGGGUGAAGGAACUAGGCAAAAUGGUGCCGUAACUUCGGGAGAAGGCACGCUGAUAUGUAGGUGAAGCCCCUGCGGGUGGAGCUGAAAUCAGUCGAAGAUACCAGCUGGCUGCAACUGUUUAUUAAAAACACAGCACUGUGCAAACACGAAAGUGGACGUAUACGGUGUGACGCCUGCCCGGUGCCGGAAGGUUAAUUGAUGGGGUUAGCGGCAACGCGAAGCUCUUGAUCGAAGCCCCGGUAAACGGCGGCCGUAACUAUAACGGUCCUAAGGUAGCGAAAUUCCUUGUCGGGUAAGUUCCGACCUGCACGAAUGGCGUAAUGAUGGCCAGGCUGUCUCCACCCGAGACUCAGUGAAAUUGAACUCGCUGUGAAGAUGCAGUGUACCCGCGGCAAGACGGAAAGACCCCGUGAACCUUUACUAUAGCUUGACACUGAACACUGGUCCUUGAUGUGUAGGAUAGGUGGGAGGCUUUGAAGUGUGGACGCCAGUCUGCAUGGAGCCGUCCUUGAAAUACCACCCUUUAAUGGCUGGUGUUCUAACGUAGACCCGUGAUCCGGGUUGCGGACAGUGUCUGGUGGGUAGUUUGACUGGGGCGGUCUCCUCCCAAAGAGUAACGGAGGAGCACGAAGGUUAGCUAAUCCUGGUCGGACAUCAGGAGGUUAGUGCAAUGGCAUAAGCUAGCUUGACUGCGAGAGUGACGGCUCGAGCAGGUGCGAAAGCAGGUCAUAGUGAUCCGGUGGUUCUGAAUGGAAGGGCCAUCGCUCAACGGAUAAAAGGUACUCCGGGGAUAACAGGCUGAUACCGCCCAAGAGUUCAUAUCGACGGCGGUGUUUGGCACCUCGAUGUCGGCUCAUCACAUCCUGGGGCUGAAGUAGGUCCCAAGGGUAUGGCUGUUCGCCAUUUAAAGUGGUACGCGAGCUGGGUUUAGAACGUCGUGAGACAGUUCGGUCCCUAUCUGCCGUGGGCGCUGGAGAAUUGAGGGGGGCUGCUCCUAGUACGAGAGGACCGGAGUGGACGCAUCACUGGUGUUCGGGUUGUCAUGCCAAUGGCACUGCCCGGUAGCUAAAUGCGGAAAAGAUAAGUGCUGAAAGCAUCUAAGCACGAAACUUGCCCCGAGAUGAGUUCU
Molecule: ribosomal RNA, 2774 nt
Filed under: Enterobacter cloacae subsp. cloacae
Lineage: Bacteria; Pseudomonadati; Pseudomonadota; Gammaproteobacteria; Enterobacterales; Enterobacteriaceae
Description: bacterial LSU rRNA
Rfam family: Bacterial large subunit ribosomal RNA
Source: RNAcentral